This 543-nucleotide long non-coding RNA is filed under the name Coturnix japonica (Japanese quail). RNAcentral's name for it is "lncRNA (ENSCJPG00005018393.1)". The record is from RNAcentral. Lineage: Eukaryota; Metazoa; Chordata; Aves; Galliformes; Phasianidae.
GAGUUCAUCCACCACCUCCUUCUCCGCGGUGACAGAUCACAGCUAUAGAUCCUCCGGUGAUAGCUGAGCGCGGUGAGCUGCGCGCCCGACUCCGCUCCUCGCGGUCUCCCGGAUACCGCGGCUGCGGCAGAGGACCCUGAUGGGAGAGGUGGCGGCGGCUCAGUCCUUCCAGCCCCAGCAGGGAUGGAUGAUGAAGGCUCCAGCAAGGUGUGGUGUGUAAAUGCUCCAGGGAGUCCCUAGUUCCUUCCAUAUGGCUACAUCCAGCUGAGGCUCUUCAUCCCCGGGGUCCCUGCUGCACAAUCCACACAAGAGACUUUCCCUUUCCUGGUUACCAAGAAGACAAAUUCUCCCCUCGGAAACACUCUCCUUGAUCCAGUAUCUUCCCCACUUUUGGUAGUUACUGAACUGGAAAUGAAUUAGUCACAUAAAUCCAGUCACUAGUUUCCUGAGGCAUGUACACACAGAAGCUUUGGAUAUGACCUGGGGUAAGUACUGAAAGUAGGAAGUUUUUACUGUAUUGGUGGGGGAUUGUUGAAGUCCCCU